CAAAGCAUGACACUGAAGAUGUCAAGAUGGACCCUAAAAAGUUCCACAAGUA
RNAcentral lists this transfer RNA (52 nucleotides) under Ancistrus sp. 1a MNRJ42890. Its description in RNAcentral is "partial tRNA-Phe". The record is from RNAcentral. Lineage: Eukaryota; Metazoa; Chordata; Actinopteri; Siluriformes; Loricariidae.